Chelonia mydas (Green sea turtle) is the source of this 1092-nucleotide long non-coding RNA. RefSeq lists it as uncharacterized. Lineage: Eukaryota; Metazoa; Chordata; Testudines; Cheloniidae. The transcript has 4 exons. The record is from RefSeq and is a predicted model, not a curated record.
GUCAUUAUCACAUUAGGCUUCUCAGUUCCCAGGGCCAUGAAGUGCCUGGGAGAGGGCACUGAUUCUCUAAAGCCAUAUCCUGAGUACCAGGCUUCCAGGCUAGCCAGCAAGCAGUGGCUCACAGUCCAUCUGGGUUCCAGAGGCCCCCAAGGUUCCUUUUCCUCUCUCAGGGGUGUGGAAUCAGGCAAGAAAGGGUUAAGUGUUUGGGGAGCAGCUGCACCUGGGGCUCCUUACCCUGCUGGGUAAACAGGUACAAAAGGAGGAGGAAACUAACCUGAGGGAGAAGGUGUGUGUUGCGAAGGGUAUUGGCCAUUCUGGUAGUAUUGCAAAAUAACAAUCAACACCAAAAUAUGAAUAAAAUUGGGGCUGUUUGUUCUAAGGCCCCAAAUCUGCAGUUUUUUUCCCAGGCAAAUUAAACUCUGCUUGGAGUGCACAUGCUGCAUCAGUGAGCUGGCAACCCUGAUUCUACAGCAUAACUUUGAGCAGGACCCUGUGUCUUGGCUUCUUCUGUGGGUACCAGGUGGGUGAGGAAACCUCUUUUAUUCGCUCAACUUCUGUGGGUGAAAGACAAGUGUUUGAGCUACACAGAGCUCUUCAGCUCUGAGAAAGGGCCCAAAUCUCCAGUGGGCGAAGGGGAACAUGUUGGCUUCACACCUGGCAGGUUGUCCUGAUCUCUCCCUCCUUGCCAGCUGUCUCUGUGCAAGAGUCCAGAUCAGCCAGCGAGGUGAGAGGCCGCUCCUUCCCUGAGCCGUUCGGUAAGGCUGUCCCUGGAUGCAAGGCUAUGCCGAGGCCUGAGAGUCAUCUCAUCAGCACAUUAAAAACUCAUCUCACACCGGCCUUAACUCGGGUCGCCGAAUUCUUGUCAGACACUGGAAUUAUUCCACUCCCCCCGUUGAGGAGGGAAGUGGAUAAAGGCGCGCACAGAAAUCACCUCCUUGCAGAGAUGAUAAGGCCAAGGAGACCAAGAGGAGGGAAUCUGGCAGCCAUUCAGGGAAUUUAUUAACAAAAGUCGCAGCCCCGGGAAAGAAGGCACGGAUUCAAUUAACUCAGCAGCGCUGUUCGGAUCCCGCUGUCAGAGCCACUGCUGUGAGU